CUCCUGCAAGGUACUCUGGGAAUGAAUGUACGGUGCAGGCAUAACUGACAACUGUGGUCGAGGGAUACAGACGUUAUGAAAGCACGUGUAUCACCAGAAGGGUGCGUCUGACGCCGUAAUCUUCCUGCAUCAGACAACAGGAACAUCACAUAACCACUCCAGGCUGUUGGGCCGCCACGUGUCUUCCAUCAAACAUACUCUCAGAUAAUCUGCAUUCCUCUUUACAAUGGCCACGGAUUUUACUAUCCCCAACUGAAAACUGUUGACGUAGGUGCGAGCAGAAGAAGGGGGAGUUACCUUGCACCUCGUUCCGUGGCCAAUGUGUAAGGCCAUUCGUACUUAAUAUAAAAGUGAGCAUUAGACCCUAGUAAAAUGAAUCUUAAAAAAAAAAGAAAAAAAGUAGAUGAAACAUGA
Molecule: long non-coding RNA, 414 nt
Organism: Pseudophryne corroboree (corroboree frog)
Lineage: Eukaryota; Metazoa; Chordata; Amphibia; Anura; Myobatrachidae
Exons: 2
Source: RefSeq, a predicted model, not a curated record